Rosa chinensis is the source of this 265-nucleotide long non-coding RNA. RefSeq lists it as uncharacterized. NCBI's taxonomy places the organism in Eukaryota, Viridiplantae, Streptophyta, Magnoliopsida, Rosales, Rosaceae. The transcript is spliced from 3 exons. The record is from RefSeq and is a predicted model, not a curated record.
UGAUGAAUAUUGAACUUUUGACAGAUUGUGGUUCUGGCAUUGAAAGAAUCACAAAAGAUCUUCUCAUAAUACUUCAUUGAGAUGAUGAAGCAGAGGCAUAAGAUCGAGAGGGAACAGAACAUUGGGAUGAAGCAGAGGCAUAAGAUCGAGAGGGAACAGAACAUUGGGGAAGAAGUUGGAUGGUCCAAAAAUGUGAAAGUUGCAAAGGGGAUUGCUAGCAAGUAAAAAAUGCAUGAUAGGAGAUUUGGAGUUCACUAGAAAACUC